UGACUCAGGAUGAACGCUGGCGGCGUGCCUAAUACAUGCAAGUCGAACGGAGGUUGUAGCAAUACAACGUUAGUGGCGAACGGGGUGAGUAACGCGUUGGUGACGUGCCCCGAAGUGUGGGAUAACAGUCCGAAAGGAUUGCUAAUACCGCAUGUUUUUAUCUGGAUUAGAUGCCGGAUAACCAAAGACUUCGGUCGCUUCGGGAGGGGCCUGCGUCCCAUCAGCUAGUUGGCAGGGUAAAAGCCUACCAAGGCGAUGACGGGUAGGGGACCUGAGAGGGUGGCCCCCCACAAUGGAACUGAAACACGGUCCAUACACCUACGGGUGGCAGCAGUAGGGAAUAUUGGUUAAUGUGCGAAAGCGCGAACCAGCAACGCCGCGUGUGCGAUGAAGGCCUUCGGGUUGUAAAGCACUUUUUGAGGGGAUGAGGAAGGACAGUACCCUCAGAAUAAGUCUCGGCUAACUACGUGCCAGCAGCCGCGGUAACACGUAGGAGACGAGCGUUAUCCGGAUUUACUGGGCGUAAAGCGCGUGCAGGCGGUUCAGCAAGUUGGAUGUGAAAGCUCCCGGCUUAACUGGGAGAGGUCGUUCAAAACUACUGGACUUGAGAGUGGUAGAGGGAGGUGGAAUUCCGGGUGUAGUGGUGAAAUGCGUAGAUAUCCGGAGGAACACCAGUGGCGAAAGCGGCCUCCUGGACCGUUUCUGACGCUCAGACGCGAAAGCUAGGGUAGCGAACGGGAUUAGAGACCCCGGUAGUCCUAGCUGUAAACGAUGUAGACUUGGCGUUGGUGGGGUUAAAUCCAUCAGUGCCGAAGCAAACGCGAUAAGUUUACCGCCUGGGGACUACGGCCGCAAGGUUAAAACUCAAAGGAAUUGACGG
This 880-nucleotide ribosomal RNA is filed under the name uncultured bacterium. Its description in RNAcentral is "bacterial SSU rRNA". It matches the Rfam family "Bacterial small subunit ribosomal RNA", at positions 20 to 916 of the family's 1533-position model. The record is from RNAcentral.